CCUACGGGUGACAGCAGUCGAGAAUCAUUCACAAUGGGGGAAACCCUGAUGGUGCGACGCCGCGUGGGGGAAUGAAGGUCUUCGGAUUGUAAACCCCUGUCAUGUGGGAGCAAAUUAAAAAGAUAGUACCACAAGAGGAAGAGACGGCUAACUCUGUGCCAGCAGCCGCGGUAAUACGGAGGGCCCAAGCGUUGUUCGGAAUCACUGGGCGUAAAGCGUGCGUAGGCUGUUUCGUAAGUCGUGUGUGAAAGGCGGGGGCUCAACCCGCGAACGGCACAUGAUACUGCGAGACUAGAGUAAUGGAGGGGGAACCGGAAUUCUCGGUGUAGCAGUGAAAUGCGUAGAUAUCGAGAGGAACACUCGUGGCGAAGGCGGGUUCCUGGACAUUAACUGACGCUGAGGCACGAAGGCCAGGGGAGCGAAAGGGAUUAGAUACCCCUGUAGUC
RNAcentral lists this ribosomal RNA (446 nucleotides) under uncultured bacterium. RNAcentral describes it as "partial 16S ribosomal RNA". It matches the Rfam family "Bacterial small subunit ribosomal RNA", at positions 338 to 795 of the family's 1533-position model. The record is from RNAcentral.